RNAcentral lists this ribosomal RNA (460 nucleotides) under uncultured soil bacterium. RNAcentral's name for it is "bacterial SSU rRNA". It matches the Rfam family "Bacterial small subunit ribosomal RNA", at positions 26 to 526 of the family's 1533-position model. The record is from RNAcentral.
AGAACGAACGCUGGCGGCAUGCCUAACACAUGCAAGUCGAACGAGACCUUCGGGUCUAGUGGCGCACGGGUGCGUAACGCGCGGGAAUCUGCCCUUGGGUUCGGAAUAACUGCGAGAAAUUGCUGCUAAUACCGGAUGAUGACGUAAGUCCAAAGAUUUAUCGCCCAAGGAUGAGCCCGCGUAGGAUUAGCUUGUUGGUGAGGUAAGAGCUCACCAAGGCGACGAAUCCUUAGCUGGUCUGAGAGGAUGAUCAGCCACACUGGGACUGAGACACGGCCCAGACUCCUACGGGAGGCAGCAGUGGGGAAUAUUGGACAAGUGGGACGAAAGCCUGAGUCCAGCAAUGCCGCGUGAGUGAUGAAGGCCUUAGGGUUGUAAAGCUUCUUUACCCGGGAUGAUAAUGAACAGUACCGGGAGAAUUAAGCUACCGGCUAACUCCGUAGCCGUAGCACGGACCGAC